RNAcentral lists this non-coding RNA (26 nucleotides) under Homo sapiens (human). Lineage: Eukaryota; Metazoa; Chordata; Mammalia; Primates; Hominidae. The record is from RNAcentral.
UGUGAAUGACAGUAAGUGGGUGAAGG